Molecule: non-coding RNA, 28 nt
Filed under: Rattus norvegicus (Norway rat)
Lineage: Eukaryota; Metazoa; Chordata; Mammalia; Rodentia; Muridae
Source: RNAcentral
UGUGGAAUCUUUUAGAUGCUGCUGGCUC